UACGUAGGGUGCAAGCGUUAAUCGGAAUUACUGGGCGUAAAGGGUUUGUAGGUGGCCCGCUAAGUCACACGUGAAAUCCCUCAGCUUAACUGGGGAACUGCGUGUGAGACUGGCAGGCUCGAGGGCAGGAGAGGAACGCGGAAUUCCAGGUGUAGCGGUGAAAUGCGUAGAUAUCUGGAGGAACACCGGUGGCGAAGGCGGCGUUCUGGACUGUCUCUGACACUGAAGAACGAAAGCCAGGGGAGCAAACGGG
Molecule: ribosomal RNA, 253 nt
Filed under: uncultured bacterium
Lineage: Bacteria
Description: partial 16S ribosomal RNA
Rfam family: Bacterial small subunit ribosomal RNA
Source: RNAcentral